AUGAAUUUCAUGGCUUUCGGCCUUGACCGGGAAAAUCUCCUCGCCGUGGACCAAAUCGGCAGGAGCUUCUUGUACAACCACGACUCGCGCUUGCUCCGCACUGGGAUGCCCAAGAUGCGCGGGCCCAUUAGCGACCCCAUCUCCGUUGCCGUGGGCGACAGCCUAUACGUCAUGAGCGGCAACCCUGGCCAGCUGCCCGGCCAGGGCUGCUUCCAGGCUCUCCUCCACACCCGCCUGCCUGGUAGCCGCGCCGAAGACUGGUGCUGGUAUUCCCUCCAGCCACCGCCUCUCUUUGCCGACCACGACAACGGGGUGGAUCGAUCCAGCCGCUUUGAAAUCGGUGCCUACGCCGUGGUUGACGAUUCACAGAUCUGGAUAUCCACGUCUGGCGCCGGCACAUACUCGUAUGACAUCGCGAGCGGCGCGUGGAGCAAACUAGGCAACUGGGCACUGCCGUUCCGAGGUCGCGCCGAGUACAUCCCUGAGCACAACCUCUGGCUUGGCUUCACGCCCGACGAUCUGCAGCUCUGCACAGCAGACCUCACUGCCUCGUGCGAGCUGAGGCCGCCCGUGCUGCACGACGUGUGGACGGACAUGAACAGGCCAGAAGAUUGGACCCUGACAGACGCCAGCAUUGUGCCGCUUGGCUCCGGUCAUGUCUGCGUUGUGAGGUUCUUUCUUACCUGCCCAGAGGAGAGCAUUGAGGAUGUGUAUGGCGAUGCCCUUGAGAAAACAGAGACUUUUGCUGUUCUCGAGGGCGUCAAAUUGUUAAAGGCUGGGUGGGCUCAGCUCCGGAUGGUUAAGCACAAGUCGGAGCGUUACGUCUUCGGCCAUGACCUUGUCAUACCGCUGUGA
RNAcentral lists this ribosomal RNA (855 nucleotides) under Triticum aestivum (bread wheat). RNAcentral describes it as "partial small subunit ribosomal RNA". The record is from RNAcentral. Lineage: Eukaryota; Viridiplantae; Streptophyta; Magnoliopsida; Poales; Poaceae.